ACCGAAGCAGGAACCUGCCUUUGUGAAAUGGGGACAAUAAAAACAUUUCCCCCUUCACUGCCCCACCCUUGUCUCUCCACUUACGAGGCUGGCGGGAGCGCUCGUUAGCCUGUAAACUGCUUCUGGUCUUCCUUGGAGAGUGACAUCUGAUGGAGACUCAGGCCAGUGAAGGUGGAAAUAGCGUGAGGCUCAGUCUUGGAGAACGAGUGGUCCUGGGAUCGAUAUUUGUGCCUGAAUCCACGAGUCGAAUGAGGUUGUUCCAGGCCUGAAAGGGACGCACAAGACUUCUGUUAACAUCUCAGUGGCAAAAAUUCAUCUUUGGCUACAUCUGGGCAUAGGAGGCGCUGGAAAAAGGAAUGCAUGUUUGAGCAGCUGUCUUUUAUCAACAACUUCACACUGUGGAAGAGGAAACAUGAUUUUUGGUGGGCCGAUAGCCAUCUCUUUUGUAAAAGUAUCAUCAUCAUCAUCCCCAUUUUUGGAUGGGGAAACUGAGGCUCCAGUGCUGAAGUAACUCACCCAAGGUCUGUAGCUGGAAGAUCAGCCCUGAGCUAACAUCUGCUGCCAAUCCUCCUCUUUUUGCUGAGGAAGACUGGCCCUGAGCCAACGUCCGUGCCCAUCCUCCCCUGCUUUAUAUGUGGGACGCCUACCACAACAUGGCUUGCCAAGUGGUGGCAUGUCCGCACCCAGGAUCCGAACUGGCGAACCCUAGGCCACUGAGAAGUGGAACGUCCACACUUAACCACUGCGCCACCGGGCCGGCCCCCCAAUCCAUUUCAUUUGAUGCAUGGCCCUCCAUGAGGCUAUUUGGAAUGGCUACAUAUCAUUCUGUGGUAUGACAACAUCCUAGUUUAUUUGCAAAACCCCUGAUCGGUGGACAUUUGGGUUGUUUACCACUUUUCCCAUGAUAACAAAUGCCAUAAUGAUUAUUUUUGAGCUUACAGUUGGGUCAACCGGCAUGCACAUUUUUAAAGUGUGACUUAUUUUCCAC
This 988-nucleotide long non-coding RNA is filed under the name Equus caballus (horse). Its description in RNAcentral is "lncRNA (ENSECAG00000052908.1)". The record is from RNAcentral. Lineage: Eukaryota; Metazoa; Chordata; Mammalia; Perissodactyla; Equidae.